Molecule: transfer RNA, 73 nt
Filed under: Pocillopora damicornis (cauliflower coral)
Lineage: Eukaryota; Metazoa; Cnidaria; Anthozoa; Scleractinia; Pocilloporidae
Description: tRNA-Ala
Rfam family: tRNA
About the family: Transfer RNA (tRNA) molecules are approximately 80 nucleotides in length. Their secondary structure includes four short double-helical elements and three loops (D, anti-codon, and T loops).
Source: Rfam by way of RNAcentral
GGCUUGUUAACUCAGUUGGUAGAGCACUGCACUGGCAUUGCCGAGGUCAUGGGUUCAAAACCCGUACAGGCCU